GGGUCUGUAGCUCAGUUGGUUAGACACGCUUGAUAAGCGUGGGUCACAAGUUCAAGUCUUGUCAGACCCACCA
Molecule: transfer RNA, 73 nt
Filed under: Acinetobacter baumannii
Lineage: Bacteria; Pseudomonadati; Pseudomonadota; Gammaproteobacteria; Moraxellales; Moraxellaceae
Description: tRNA-Ile
Rfam family: tRNA
About the family: Transfer RNA (tRNA) molecules are approximately 80 nucleotides in length.
Source: RNAcentral